UACGAAGGUGGCAAGCGUUAUUCGGAAUUACUGGGCAUAAAGGGCCGCAGGCGGCCCGGCAAGUUGAUGGUGAAAUCCCCCGGCUCAACUGGGGAACGGCCGUCAAUACUACCGGGCUCGAGGUGUUGGAGGGGUGAGUGGAAUUCCUGGUGGAGCGGUGGAAUGCGUAGAUAUCAGGAGGAACGCCGGAGGCGAAAGCGACUCACUGGAC
This 211-nucleotide ribosomal RNA is filed under the name uncultured bacterium. RNAcentral's name for it is "partial 16S ribosomal RNA". It matches the Rfam family "Bacterial small subunit ribosomal RNA", at positions 524 to 734 of the family's 1533-position model. The record is from RNAcentral.